GAUGAACGCUGGCGGCGUGCCUAAUACAUGCAAGUCGAGCGAACGGACGAGAAGCUUGCUUCUCUGAUGUUAGCGGCGGACGGGUGAGUAACACGUGGAUAACCUACCUAUAAGACUGGGAUAACUUCGGGAAACCGGAGCUAAUACCGGAUAAUAUUUUGAACCGCAUGGUUCAAAAGUGAAAGACGGUCUUGCUGUCACUUAUAGAUGGAUCCGCGCUGCAUUAGCUAGUUGGUAAGGUAACGGCUUACCAAGGCAACGAUGCAUAGCCGACCUGAGAGGGUGAUCGGCCACACUGGAACUGAGACACGGUCCAGACUCCUACGGGAGGCAGCAGUAGGGAAUCUUCCGCAAUGGGCGAAAGCCUGACGGAGCAACGCCGCGUGAGUGAUGAAGGUCUUCGGAUCGUAAAACUCUGUUAUUAGGGAAGAACAUAUGUGUAAGUAACUGUGCACAUCUUGACGGUACCUAAUCAGAAAGCCACGGCUAACUACGUGCCAGCAGCCGCGGUAAUACGUAGGUGGCAAGCGUUAUCCGGAAUUAUUGGGCGUAAAGCGCGCGUAGGCGGUUUUUUAAGUCUGAUGUGAAAGCCCACGGCUCAACCGUGGAGGGUCAUUGGAAACUGGAAAACUUGAGUGCAGAAGAGGAAAGUGGAAUUCCAUGUGUAGCGGUGAAAUGCGCAGAGAUAUGGAGGAACACCAGUGGCGAAGGCGACUUUCUGGUCUGUAACUGACGCUGAUGUGCGAAAGCGUGGGGAUCAAACAGGAUUAGAUACCCUGGUAGUCCACGCCGUAAACGAUGAGUGCUAAGUGUUAGGGGGUUUCCGCCCCUUAGUGCUGCAGCUAACGCAUUAAGCACUCCGCCUGGGGAGUACGACCGCAAGGUUGAAACUCAAAGGAAUUGACGGGGACCCGCACAAGCGGUGGAGCAUGUGGUUUAAUUCGAAGCAACGCGAAGAACCUUACCAAAUCUUGACAUCCUUUGACAACUCUAGAGAUAGAGCUUUCCCCUUCGGGGGACAAAGUGACAGGUGGUGCGUGGUUGUCGUCAGCUCGUGUCGUGAGAUGUUGGGUUAAGUCCCGCAACGAGCGCAACCCUUAAGCUUAGUUGCCAUCAUUAAGUUGGGCACUCUAAGUUGACUGCCGGUGACAAACCGGAGGAAGGUGGGGAUGACGUCAAAUCAUCAUGCCCCUUAUGAUUUGGGCUACACACGUGCUACAAUGGACAAUACAAAGGGCAGCGAAACCGCGAGGUCAAGCAAAUCCCAUAAAGUUGUUCUCAGUUCGGAUUGUAGUCUGCAACUCGACUACAUGAAGCUGGAAUCGCUAGUAAUCGUAGAUCAGCAUGCUACGGUGAAUACGUUCCCGGGUCU
RNAcentral lists this ribosomal RNA (1372 nucleotides) under uncultured bacterium. RNAcentral's name for it is "bacterial SSU rRNA". It matches the Rfam family "Bacterial small subunit ribosomal RNA", at positions 28 to 1381 of the family's 1533-position model. The record is from RNAcentral.